GGGGCAAGCGUUGUCCGGAAUUAUUGGGCGUAAAGAGCGUGUAGGCGGUCCGGUAAGUCAGCUGUGAAAGUCAAGGGCUCAACCCUUGAAAGCCGGUUGAUACUGUCGGGCUAGAGUCCGGAAGAGGCGAGUGGAAUUCCCGGUGUAGCGGUGAAAUGCGCAGAUAUCGGGAGGAACACCGGUGGCGAAGGCGGCGACCUGGGUCGACACUGACGCUGAGGCGCGAAAGCGUGGGGAGCAAACAGG
Molecule: ribosomal RNA, 246 nt
Filed under: uncultured bacterium
Lineage: Bacteria
Description: partial 16S ribosomal RNA
Rfam family: Bacterial small subunit ribosomal RNA
Source: RNAcentral